AAUGUUUUAAUAUUAUCUGUACUCCUUUUUCUUUUCUUCCAAAUAUUGUCUUUACUCUAUGUCAGAUUUAGGAAAAUUACCGUAAAAAUUGUUAACAAUUAUUAGUAUUCAAGAAACAGUUAGGUUUAAUAUUUUUCAAAGGUGCGUCGGAUUUAGUUCAAUUUGAUUCAAUCUUUUAACUCAUAAAUAUAUCACUUUAAAAAACAUACGUAUUUUGGGUUGUUCAGGGAAAUUAAUUAGCAUCAAUGAGUGUUAAAUGGUCUAGGGUACUAUUAUUCAGUAAAUACUUAUGUAUAAUAUGUUUUGAGGGUUAAAAUGUAGCAAGGGUUAUAUAUGAAUUCUUCCUAAAAUUUUGGAAGAUAUAGGUCAAUGUGUAAUUAACAUAUACUCAAGAUCGGCCCUCCAAAAAUGGUCAGUUUGAAUACAAUUUAGUUUCAGUUCAGUUUUUUAUUGACAAAAGUAAAAAUCACAUUAAAAUUUUUGGUUUGGAUAUUCAGUUUUAGUUUUACUGGUUUUAACUGAAAUUUAUAUUUUAUUUGAUCUAAGAUCUUAUGAAUUAUAAUUCACUUGUUAGAAUUUUUGGGUUAUUAUGAUCUUAAUGAAUUUGAUUUCUUAUUGUAAAAAAAUUGGUUAUCAAUUGUAUUUUUUACUAAUACUUG
Molecule: long non-coding RNA, 659 nt
Filed under: Brassica rapa (field mustard)
Lineage: Eukaryota; Viridiplantae; Streptophyta; Magnoliopsida; Brassicales; Brassicaceae
Description: long non-coding RNA (BRAP_LNC002937)
Source: RNAcentral